CGCGGGAUAGAGCAGCAUGGUAGCUCGACGGGCUCAUAACCCGUAGGUCGAUGGUUCAAAUCCAUCUCCCGCAACCA
RNAcentral lists this transfer RNA (77 nucleotides) under Campylobacteraceae bacterium. RNAcentral's name for it is "tRNA-Met". It matches the Rfam family "tRNA". Rfam says of the family: Transfer RNA (tRNA) molecules are approximately 80 nucleotides in length. Their secondary structure includes four short double-helical elements and three loops (D, anti-codon, and T loops). The record is from RNAcentral. Lineage: Bacteria; Pseudomonadati; Campylobacterota; Epsilonproteobacteria; Campylobacterales; Campylobacteraceae.